UGAAAUCAAGGUAAGAUAAACAACAGGCACUUGUUUUCCAGUUCAAGAGAAUUCCUUUGCUUUAUAUUAUACAAGGAUACAAGAGUAAAGGUUAUAACUUACAUAAAUCCCAAUUUCAGUGUGCCGCUUGUAAAAUCAACAGAUCUAGUGAAACAAAUAAGGGCAACCAAAUAAUUUUCGGAAAGUUGAAACUUAGAUCCCUAAGUAGUCCAACAGUGGCGCUAGAUAUUGAGUGCCUGACAACUUACUAGUUCGGAAGAUCCGGUCGUCCUUGUGGCAAUAACCCUCCAAAGAUCCGUUUCAAAUGCUGUUGCAGGUUCUGCAGACUCGGGAUGUGCACCAGGUGAGCUAUCCAAUGAAUGGUUUUGCACAUCAGCCUGCAAGACUGAAAUAUUGUUGUUGGCAUCUUUAGUGAUCACAUGAAGCUUUCCCAGUAAACCAGAAAGUAAAUAGGGAAAAUCUGAAUCAGUAAAGUCAGGAAUGGGGACCUCUCCCACUACAACUUUCCAUGCAUCAUCUUGGUAAUCAUAUACCUUAAUCCUCACACUUUCAGGAGAAUUAGAUGGAUCGAGUGCAUACAGCUCACCAUCCACGGUGACACUCAAUUUUGUUCCUGCCUGUCUUGCAGGCCAACCAUCACCCAUGCCAGCUGGCAUUUCAACCCAAGAAUUUACAUCGGGAUCAUAUACCUCCCCUCCAACAUCAACAAAAAAUGGCCAGCAAUAUAAACUUUGAGGCACAAAUAACCUUCCCCUA
Molecule: long non-coding RNA, 756 nt
Filed under: Gossypium raimondii (Peruvian cotton)
Lineage: Eukaryota; Viridiplantae; Streptophyta; Magnoliopsida; Malvales; Malvaceae
Description: long non-coding RNA (GRAI_LNC004221)
Source: RNAcentral